UGAUCAUGUGGUUUUUGUCUUUGAGUUUGU
RNAcentral lists this non-coding RNA (30 nucleotides) under Mus musculus (house mouse). Lineage: Eukaryota; Metazoa; Chordata; Mammalia; Rodentia; Muridae. The record is from RNAcentral.